Molecule: ribosomal RNA, 468 nt
Filed under: uncultured bacterium
Lineage: Bacteria
Description: partial 16S ribosomal RNA
Rfam family: Bacterial small subunit ribosomal RNA
Source: RNAcentral
GACGAACGCUGGCGGCGUGCUUAACACAUGCAAGUCGAACGGAAAGGCCCUGCUUUUGUGGGGUGCUCGAGUGGCGAACGGGUGAGUAACACGUGAGUAACCUGCCCUUGACUUUGGGAUAACUUCAGGAAACUGGGGCUAAUACCGGAUAGGAGCUCCUGCUGCAUGGUGGGGGUUGGAAAGUUUCGGCGGUUGGGGAUGGACUCGCGGCUUAUCAGCUUGUUGGUGGGGUAGUGGCUUACCAAGGCUUUGACGGGUAGCCGGCCUGAGAGGGUGACCGGCCACAUUGGUACUGAGAUACGGCCCAGACUCCUACGGGAGGCAGCAGUGGGGAAUAUUGCACAAUGGGCGGAAGCCUGAUGCAGCAACGCCGCGUGCGGGAUGACGGCCUUCGGGUUGUGAACCGCUUUCGCCUGUGACGAAGCGUGAGUGACGGUAAUGGGUAAAGAAGCACCGGCUAACUACGUG